GGCCCCUUAGCUCAGCUGGAUCAGAGCGGGUGCCUUCUAAGCACCAGGUCGCAGGUUCGAGCCCUGCAGGGGUCGCCA
This 78-nucleotide transfer RNA is filed under the name Hyphomicrobiales bacterium. RNAcentral describes it as "Rhizobiales bacterium (activated sludge metagenome) tRNA-Arg". It matches the Rfam family "tRNA". Rfam says of the family: Transfer RNA (tRNA) molecules are approximately 80 nucleotides in length. Their secondary structure includes four short double-helical elements and three loops (D, anti-codon, and T loops). Lineage: Bacteria; Pseudomonadati; Pseudomonadota; Alphaproteobacteria; Hyphomicrobiales. The record is from RNAcentral.